RNAcentral lists this ribosomal RNA (465 nucleotides) under Vreelandella stevensii. RNAcentral describes it as "partial 16S ribosomal RNA". It matches the Rfam family "Bacterial small subunit ribosomal RNA", at positions 338 to 795 of the family's 1533-position model. Lineage: Bacteria; Pseudomonadati; Pseudomonadota; Gammaproteobacteria; Oceanospirillales; Halomonadaceae. The record is from RNAcentral.
CCUACGGGUGGCAGCAGUGGGGAAUAUUGGACAAAGGGCGAAAGCCUGAUCCAGCCAUGCCGCGUGUGUGAAGAAGGCCUUCGGGUUGUAAAGCACUUUCAGUGGGGAAGAAAGCCUUGGGGCUAAUACCCUCGAGGAAGGACAUCACCCACAGAAGAAGCACCGGCUAACUCCGUGCCAGCAGCCGCGGUAAUACGGAGGGUGCGAGCGUUAAUCGGAAUUACUGGGCGUAAAGCGCGCGUAGGCGGUCUGAUAAGCCGGUUGUGAAAGCCCCGGGCUCAACCUGGGAACGGCAUCCGGAACUGUCAGGCUAGAGUGCAGGAGAGGAAGGUAGAAUUCCCGGUGUAGCGGUGAAAUGCGUAGAGAUCGGGAGGAAUACCAGUGGCGAAGGCGGCCUUCUGGACUGACACUGACGCUGAGGUGCGAAAGCGUGGGUAGCAAACAGGAUUAGAUACCCGUGUAGUC